Homo sapiens (human) is the source of this 3180-nucleotide RNA transcript. It is a transcript of the gene named aquaporin 7 pseudogene 1, with no coding region annotated. The transcript has 4 exons. Lineage: Eukaryota; Metazoa; Chordata; Mammalia; Primates; Hominidae. The record is from RefSeq and is marked provisional.
AACUCGGUCUCCACUGCACUGCUGGCCAGACGAGGGAUGUUAUUUUGGGCAGUGCAUCUGGACUUGGUUCAAGUGGCACCAGCCAAAUCCCUGCCUUACUGACCUCUCCCCUGGAGGAGCAGGAGCAGUGCUCAAGGCCGCCCUGGGAGGGCUGAGAGGCAGGCUCUGGACUGGGGACACAGGGAUAGCUGAGCCCCAGCUGGGGGUGGAAGCUGAGCCAGGGACAGUCACAGAGGAACAAGAUCAAGAUGCGCUUUAACUGAGAAGCCCCCAAGGCAGAGGCUGAGAAUCAGAAGACAUUUCAGCAGACAUCUACAAAUCUGAAGGACAAAACAUGGUUCAAGCAUCUGGGCACAGGCGGUCCACCCGUGGCUCCAAAAUGGUCUCCUGGUCCGUGAUAGCAAAGAUCCAGGAAAUAUGGUGCGAGGAAGAUGAGAGGAAGAUGGCGCGAGAGUUCCUGGCCGAGUUCAUGAGCACAUAUGUCAUGAUGGAGUGGCUGACCGGGAUGCUCCAGCUGUGUCUCUUCGCCAUCGUGGACCAGGAGAACAACCCAGCACUGCCAGGAACACACGCACUGGUGAUAGGCAUCCUCGUGGUCAUCAUCAGGGUGUACCAUGGCAUGAACACAGGAUAUGCCAUCAAUCCGUCCCGGGACCUGCCCCCCCCCCCCGCAUCUUCACCUUCAUUGCUGGUUGGGGCAAACUGGUCUUCAGGUACUGCCCCUGCCCAGGCCCAUUCCUUUGAGAUUUUCUGUGGGGCCCCUGUGUGUUGAGGUGUGGGGGGUGAUGUGAGGGGCAGCACAGGAGGGUCCUGCAGAGCCCCCAGGUGGCCUGGGGAGCAGGAGUGAGUCCCAACAUUUCCCCAGGCCAGUAGAGAUACAGAUCCUGCACCUGCACUGAGUGUCAACCCUGUCCCUGAGUCGGGCUGAGGCUGACCAGGGCCCCGGGUUGGGGGUGUUUCCUGGGUUAGCCUGAGGAUGACUCCUCUGCUCAACCAGUCUUGGCCCGAGGUGGAUGAGGGUGCUGUCCUGGGCAUCAGCCCCCUCAGCCGGCCUCUGCCUCUUGCCUGCAGCGAUGGGGAGAACUUGUGGUGGGUGCCAGUGGUGGCACCACUUCUGGGUGCCUCUCUAGGUGGCAUCAUCUACCUGGUCUUCAUUGGCUCCACCAUCCCACGGGAGCCCCUGAAAUUGGAGGACUCUGUGGCAUAUGAAGACCACGGGAUAACCGUAUUGCCCAAGAUGGGAUCUCAUGAACCCAUGAUCUCUCCCCUUACCCUCAUCUCCGUGAGCCCUGCCAACAGAUCUUCAGUCCACCCUGCCCCACCCUUACAUGAAUCCAUGGCCCUAGAGCACUUCUAAGCAGAGAUUAUUUGUGAUCCCAUCCCUUCCCCAAUAAAGAGAAGCUUGUCCCACAGCAGUACCCCCACUUCCUGGGGGCCUCCUGUGGUUGGGCUUCCCUCCUGGGUUCUUCCAGGAGCUCUAGGGCUAUGUCUUAGCCCAAGGUGUAGAGGUGAGGCACCUCAAGUCUUUCAUGCCCUGGGAACUGGGGUGCCCCAGGGGGAGAAUGGGGAAGAGCUGACCUGCGCCCUCAGUAGGAACAAGGUAAGAUGAAAGAAUGACAGAAACAGAAUGAGGGAUUUUCAGGCAAGGGGGAAGGAAGGGCAGUUUUGGUGAAAGGACUGUAGCUGACUGGUGGGGGGCUGGCUUUGGAAAUACUUUGAGGGGAUCCUGAGACUGGACUCUAGACUCUCCCCUGGUUGUUCCCUUCCCCGAGUUCUGGCCGGUUCUUGGACCAGACAAGGCAUGGCCCAAGAAGGUAGAUCAGAAUUUUUUAGCCUUUUUUUCAUUAGUGCCUUCCCUAGUAUAAUUCCAGAUUUUUUUUCUUAAUCACAUGAAAUUUUAAUACCACAGAUAUACUAUACAUCUGUUUAUGUUCUGUAUAUGUUCUGUGCUUUAUACGUAAAAAAGAGUAAGAUUUUUUUUCACCUCCCCUUUUAAGAAUCAGUUUUAAUUCCCUUGAGAAUGCUUGUUAUAGAUUGAAGGCUGGUAAGGGGUUGGGCUCCUCUUUCUUCUUCCUGGUGCCAGAGUGCUCCCACAUGAAGGAAUAGGAAAGGAAGAUGCAAAGAGGGAAAUCCUUCGAACACAUGAAGACACAGGAAGAGGCCUCUUAGGGCUCCAAGGGCUCCAGGGAAGCAGCUGCAGAGGUUGGGUGGGGUGAGGGGCCAGGAUCCACUGACCCUGGGGCCAGGCAGGAAUCACUCUGUUGCCUGGGGCUCAGAAGGCAGUAUCACCCAUGGUUCCUGUCAUUGCUCAUGUAUUUUGCCUUUCAACAAUUAUUGUGCACCUACUGUGUGCAGGCCCUGCCUGGACACUGGGGAUGCGCAGUGGAUGCACUGGGCUCUGCCUUUGAGGGUUGCAGUUUAAUGGGUGACAGGUAAUUAUAAGGAAGAAGGUGAGUGCAGAGUGGGAGGCUUGGAGGCUGUGGGGCUUGGGGUGGGGGAGCUCACAUCCAGCCUCUGGGCCAAGGCCAGGAGGCUUCCCAGAGCAGGAGACAGAGCAGGGUAUUGUGGUGGGGGGUGUCCUUUUUGGGGCUGGGAUCUGCACUUUACAGUUUGAGGGGAUGGGCAGAGGAGGCUGGGCUUCAUUCUGGAGGUGGGGACAUGGUGAGGUGAGGUUUAGAAAGCACACCUGAGCCGCAGUGUGUAGGAUGCUGGAAAUGGUGGAGAUGGGCCUGCGAAGAGAGUGCUGGGAAGUGAUGACCCAGGAGCAGCAGCCGGGCACCUAACAAUGGGUCAGCACCGUGGGCGUGGAGACAAAGGCCGGGAUUGAUCAAUACCCGAGAAGUACAAUGUACAGGACUUGGGCUCCAUUUGGAUGGAGUGGGUGAGGGAGGAGUCAGAAAUGGCUUCCGAUUUCCAGCUUGGGCCUGGGGAUUGGAGAUGUCCCCACUGAGAGUAGGGCACAAGUGAGGAAAUGGUUUGGAGAGGAAGAUGAUAAGUUACAUCAUGGAUGUGCUGAGUCUGAGUUGCCUAUGGGACUUGGAAUGGGGGGUGGCAAAAGGUGUGUGAUCUUGAGCAAGAUAUUCAACUCUUCUGGGCCUUGGUCUUCUCAUUUGUAAAACGGUGAUAAGAAUAUUACUUCCCAUUUGUGUUGCUGUGAAUAUUAAAUGCGCUACCACAUGU